This 899-nucleotide ribosomal RNA is filed under the name Flavobacterium arsenitoxidans. RNAcentral's name for it is "bacterial SSU rRNA". It matches the Rfam family "Bacterial small subunit ribosomal RNA", at positions 56 to 959 of the family's 1533-position model. The record is from RNAcentral. Lineage: Bacteria; Pseudomonadati; Bacteroidota; Flavobacteriia; Flavobacteriales; Flavobacteriaceae.
UGCAGUCGAGGGGUAGAGCACUUCGGUGCUUGAGACCGGCGCACGGGUGCGUAACGCGUAUGCAAUCUACCUUUUACAGGGGGAUAGCCCAGAGAAAUUUGGAUUAAUACCCCAUAGUAUAGUGAGUUGGCAUCAACCUAUUAUUAAAGUCACAACGGUAAAAGAUGAGCAUGCGUCCCAUUAGCUAGUUGGUAAGGUAACGGCUUACCAAGGCAACGAUGGGUAGGGGUCCUGAGAGGGAGAUCCCCCACACUGGUACUGAGACACGGACCAGACUCCUACGGGAGGCAGCAGUGAGGAAUAUUGGACAAUGGGCGCAAGCCUGAUCCAGCCAUGCCGCGUGCAGGAUGACGGUCCUAUGGAUUGUAAACUGCUUUUGUACGAGAAGAAACACUCCUACGUGUAGGAGCUUGACGGUAUCGUAAGAAUAAGGAUCGGCUAACUCCGUGCCAGCAGCCGCGGUAAUACGGAGGAUCCAAGCGUUAUCCGGAAUCAUUGGGUUUAAAGGGUCCGUAGGCGGUCUUGUAAGUCAGUGGUGAAAGCCCAUCGCUCAACGGUGGAACGGCCAUUGAUACUGCAGGACUUGAAUUAUUAGGAAGUAACUAGAAUAUGUAGUGUAGCGGUGAAAUGCUUAGAGAUUACAUGGAAUACCAAUUGCGAAGGCAGGUUACUACUAAUGGAUUGACGCUGAUGGACGAAAGCGUGGGUAGCGAACAGGAUUAGAUACCCUGGUAGUCCACGCCGUAAACGAUGGAUACUAGCUGUUGGGGGCAACCUCAGUGGCUAAGCGAAAGUGAUAAGUAUCCCACCUGGGGAGUACGAACGCAAGUUUGAAACUCAAAAGGAAUUGACGGGGGGCCCGCACAAGCGGUGGAGCAUGUGGGUUUAAUUCGAUGAUA